Molecule: ribosomal RNA, 519 nt
Filed under: Sungouiella intermedia
Lineage: Eukaryota; Fungi; Ascomycota; Pichiomycetes; Serinales; Metschnikowiaceae
Also listed under: 1 other name
Description: [Candida] intermedia partial large subunit ribosomal RNA
Rfam family: Eukaryotic large subunit ribosomal RNA
Source: RNAcentral
AAACCAACAGGGAUUGCCUCAGUAACGGCGAGUGAAGCGGCAAAAGCUCAAAUUUGAAAUCCUUCGGGAGUUGUAAUUUGUAGGUUGGGAGACCCCGCGGCUAGUGGCACCAAGUCCCUUGGAACAGGGCGCCUUAGAGGGUGAGAGCCCCGUAGGUACCACAACACCGUCUUGUGUCUCCUCUCCAAAGAGUCGAGUUGUUUGGGAAUGCAGCUCAAAGUGGGUGGUAAAUUCCAUCUAAAGCUAAAUACCGGCGAGAGACCGAUAGCGAACAAGUACAGUGAUGGAAAGAUGAAAAGCACUUUGAAAAGAGAGUGAAACAGUACGUGAAAUUGUUGAAAGGGAAGGGCUUGCAAGCAGACACGGCCUUCGUGCCGGGCCAGCAUCGGUUGCUAGGGGUGGAUAAGGAACAAGGAAUGUAGCUCCUCGGAGUAUUAUAGCCUUGCGCGAUACACCCACUGGCGACCGAGGCCUGCGGUAUUCUUUACCUAGGAUGCUGGCGUAAUGGUUGCAAGCCGC